This 301-nucleotide ribosomal RNA is filed under the name uncultured bacterium. Its description in RNAcentral is "partial 16S ribosomal RNA". It matches the Rfam family "Bacterial small subunit ribosomal RNA", at positions 509 to 807 of the family's 1533-position model. The record is from RNAcentral.
CAGUAGCCGCGGUAAUACGUAGGUGGCAAGCGUUGUCCGGAAUUAUUGGGCGUAAAGGGCUCGCAGGCGGUUUCUUAAGUCUGAUGUGAAAGCCCCCGGCUCAACCGGGGAGGGUCAUUGGAAACUGGGAAACUUGAGUGCAGAAGAGGAGAGUGGAAUUCCACGUGUAGCGGUGAAAUGCGUAGAGAUGUGGAAGAACACCGGUGGCGAAGGCGGCGACCUGGUCCAUUACUGACGCUGAGGCGCGAAAGCGUGGGGAGCAAACAGGAUUAGAUACCCCAGUAGUCCCUGUCUCUUAUAC